GAUGAAGAACGCAGUGAAAUGCGAUAAGUAAUGUGAAUUGCAGAAUUCAGUGAAUCAUCGAAUCUUUGAACGCACAUUGCGCCCCUUGGUAUUCCGAGGGGCAUGCCUGUUCGAGCGUCAUUAUAACCCCUCAAGCUCAGCUUGGUGUUGGGGCCUGCUGCACUGGCAGCCCUUAAAAUCAGUGGCGGCGCCAUCUGGCUCUAAGCGUAGUAAUUCUUCUCGCUAUGGAGUCCUGGUGGAUGCUUGCCAUCAACCCCCAAUUUUUCUAUGGUUGACCUCGGAUCAGGUAGGGAUACCCGCUGAACUUAAGCAUAUCAAUAAGCGGAGG
RNAcentral lists this unclassified non-coding RNA (328 nucleotides) under soil metagenome. RNAcentral's name for it is "partial contains 5.8S ribosomal RNA, internal transcribed spacer 2, and large subunit ribosomal RNA". The stretch from base 1 to 120 matches the Rfam family "5.8S ribosomal RNA", at positions 35 to 154 of the family's 154-position model. The record is from RNAcentral.